GAUGAACGCUGGCGGCGUGCUUAACACAUGCAAGUCGAACGGUGAAAGCGGAGCUUGCUCUGCUGGAUCAGUGGCGAACGGGUGAGUAACACGUGAGCAAUCUGCCCCUGACUCUGGGAUAAGCGCUGGAAACGGCGUCUAAUACCGGAUACGAGCUGCGAAGGCAUCUUCAGCAGCUGGAAAGAACUUCGGUCAGGGAUGAGCUCGCGGCCUAUCAGCUAGUUGGUGAGGUAACGGCUCACCAAGGCGUCGACGGGUAGCCGGCCUGAGAGGGGGACCGGGCACGCUGAGACGGAGACACGGCCCAGACUCCGAAGUGAGGCAGCAGUGGGGAAGUUUGCACAAUGGGCGAAAGACUGAUGCAGGAACGCCGCGUGAGGGACGACGGCCUUCGGGUUGUAAACCUCUUUUAGCAGGGAAGAAGCGAAAGUGACGGUACCUGCAGAAAAAGCGCCGGCUAACUACGUGCCAGCCGCCGCCGUAA
This 484-nucleotide ribosomal RNA is filed under the name uncultured bacterium. RNAcentral describes it as "partial 16S ribosomal RNA". It matches the Rfam family "Bacterial small subunit ribosomal RNA", at positions 28 to 523 of the family's 1533-position model. The record is from RNAcentral.